RNAcentral lists this long non-coding RNA (522 nucleotides) under Olea europaea (common olive). RNAcentral describes it as "long non-coding RNA (OEUR_LNC009317)". The record is from RNAcentral. Lineage: Eukaryota; Viridiplantae; Streptophyta; Magnoliopsida; Lamiales; Oleaceae.
UAGUGGCUACAAUAAUGAUAAUGCUCUCAAAACAAUGGUAAAAACAUAAGAACAUAACCACUAACAAUUAAAUAUGGAAAUUUAUAUAGUUUAGCCAAACUUCCUUAUUCAUUCCAACACCAAUAGGUUUAGCUCAUUGUAUUUAAAAGGCACAAAGUAGAAGGAUUGAAGAAAUACAUUCCAAAAGUUAAGAAAUAUAAUAUGAAAUACAAGACAAAGAAAUAAGCAUGUCCCCUUGGUCGAAUCCUUGAAGCUUGCUCAUGUUGGUCUUGAUUUCUUCAAGAUUUUCCUCCUUUCUGUAUGGUAUUUCUCUGCUUGCCCCCUUUUCUCUAUAUGCUAGGGUUUUAAAGUGGAUGAAGAAUAAUACCAAAAAUUGGUGUAAUUUGCCUUUUAAAUGGCCCAAAGACCGUAUUUUGUUAAUUAUAAAGUAGUCACCAACUAAAAAAUAUAGCCAGACAAGUCCUGGUUUGUAGCCAUGGCGCCCUGAAGUGGCGUUACGGUGUCAAAUCUCUGUUGUGAGUG